CGCCCGGUGGUGAAACCGUAUCGCGGCCGGCCUACACCCGGCAGUCGAGGGUGCGACUCCUUCCCGGGCGACCC
Molecule: transfer RNA, 74 nt
Filed under: Verrucomicrobiota bacterium
Lineage: Bacteria; Pseudomonadati; Verrucomicrobiota
Description: Verrucomicrobia bacterium (freshwater metagenome) tRNA-Val
Rfam family: tRNA
About the family: Transfer RNA (tRNA) molecules are approximately 80 nucleotides in length. Their secondary structure includes four short double-helical elements and three loops (D, anti-codon, and T loops).
Source: RNAcentral